RNAcentral lists this transfer RNA (106 nucleotides) under Mus musculus (house mouse). It matches the Rfam family "tRNA". Rfam says of the family: Transfer RNA (tRNA) molecules are approximately 80 nucleotides in length. RNAcentral also lists the same sequence under 1 other name. Lineage: Eukaryota; Metazoa; Chordata; Mammalia; Rodentia; Muridae. The record is from Rfam by way of RNAcentral.
GUCAGGAUGGCCGAGUGGUCUAAGGCGCCAGACUCAAGCUAUGGCUUCCUCGCUCUGAGGGUUCUGGUCUCCCCUGGAGGCGUGGGUUCGAAUCCCACUUCUGACA